AAUAUUGGACAAUGGGGGCAACCAUGAUCCAGCCAUGCCGCGUGUGGGAAGAAGGUCUUAGGAUUGUAAAGCACCUUAAUGAGGGAGGAAGGGCUUUAUGAUAUUAACCUGAAGUUUUUAAGUUACAAACAGAAUAAGCACCGGCCAAGUCUGUGCGAGCAGCCGCGUGAAUACAGAGGGUGCAAGCGUUAAUAGGAAUUAAUAGGCGUAAAGCGCGCGUAGGUAGUUCAGUAAUAUGGGUGUGAAAUCCCCGGGCUUAACCUGGGAACUGCUUUCAUAACUGCUGAGCUAGAGUACGGUAGGGGGUAGUUGAAUUUCCUGUGUAGCGGUGAAAUGCGUAGAUAUAGGAAGGAACACCAGUGGCGAAGGCGACUACCUGGACUGAUACUGACACUGAGGUGCGAAAGCGUGGGGAGCAAAC
RNAcentral lists this ribosomal RNA (421 nucleotides) under uncultured bacterium. RNAcentral describes it as "partial 16S ribosomal RNA". It matches the Rfam family "Bacterial small subunit ribosomal RNA", at positions 360 to 773 of the family's 1533-position model. The record is from RNAcentral.